GCCAGGCAUGGUGGCGCAUGCCUGUAGUCCCAGCUACUCGGGAGGCUGAGGCAGAAGAAUUGCUUGAACCCAGGAGGCGGAUGUUGCAGUGAGUCAAGAUCAUGCCACUGCACUCCAGUCUGGGUGACAAAGCAAGACUCUGUCUCAA
This 148-nucleotide small RNA is filed under the name Papio anubis (olive baboon). RNAcentral describes it as "Metazoan signal recognition particle RNA (ENSPANG00000048702.1)". The record is from Rfam by way of RNAcentral. Lineage: Eukaryota; Metazoa; Chordata; Mammalia; Primates; Cercopithecidae.